RNAcentral lists this long non-coding RNA (486 nucleotides) under Fragaria vesca (wild strawberry). RNAcentral describes it as "long non-coding RNA (FVES_LNC000973)". Lineage: Eukaryota; Viridiplantae; Streptophyta; Magnoliopsida; Rosales; Rosaceae. The record is from RNAcentral.
CGAUUCUCGUUCGACAACAUCUGCAAAUUCUCUUUCGGGUUGGACCCAGGUUGUCUCGAGCCGUCUCUGCCCGUUUCGAAAUUCGCCGACGCGUUUGACCUGGCCUCGAAGCUCUCCGCAGAACGCGCCAUGACGUCAUCGCCGGUGUUUUGGAAGAUCAAGAGGUUUUUCAACGUCGGCUCCGAAAAGCGGCUCAAGGAAGCCGUCAGAAUAAUCGAUGAUCAGGCGAAAGAGAUGAUCAAACAGCGUCGGAAAAUGGGCUAUGUCGCCAAAAACGACCUCCUGUCGCGGUUCAUGGCCAUCGUCAACGACGACGACCAGUACCUCAGAGACAUAGUCGUCAGCUUUCUCUUGGCGGGCCGCGACACCAUCUCCUCCGGUUUGACCAGCCUGUUCUAUUUACUGUCCCAGCACCCGGAAGUCACGCGGGCCAUCCGUGAGGAGUCGGAUCAGGUCAUGGGUCGGGCCGGAGCGAUCCCGAGCUUU